This is a long non-coding RNA of Helianthus annuus (common sunflower), 3524 nucleotides long. RefSeq lists it as uncharacterized. The transcript is spliced from 7 exons. Lineage: Eukaryota; Viridiplantae; Streptophyta; Magnoliopsida; Asterales; Asteraceae. The record is from RefSeq and is a predicted model, not a curated record.
UUUCCUUCACUUCCCUCCUUGAAAGAAACCUAACAGACUCUCACAAUCAACCCAGGAGUGAAUAUAGCAAAUGAAAGGGUCGAAACAAUUAUAGAUGAAACUAAUUCGAUGAGGGAGAGAAAGAGAAGAAUACAGAGAGGGGGGAGAAGGCCCAAGGCUCUCCGGCCACAGCGACAUCGAUGACGACGGCGGAUUGAAGCUCGGAUUUCCGAUGGCAGCGCCCGAUACUUGGAUGGUGGUCGAUCAUCCGAAAAGACUGGUCGUUGGGCUGAUCUGGUGGUGGUUAAAGAUCAGUUUUUGUCCGUGGUUGCCAGAUUUCAUUCGGGAACCCUUGGUGGCGGUGUCGCUGGCACAUUUUUGAACUGUGAUUUUGUGGAGGUUUGAUCUGUCGGUGUUGAUUCUAUAUUGAUUUUGAAGUAUUAUAGAGUACACAUUUGAAGAAUUAGGGUUCUUACAUAGUGUUUUUUAGGCCAUAAUGCUGAAUCUUCCAACAUCUGACAUGAUAGAAUCAUGCUCCAUAGCUGGUCCUGGCUUUAUAAACGUUAAGUUAUCAACACAAUGGAUAGCCAAGAGAAUCCAGAAUAUGCUAUAACAGAUGGCAUUGACACAUGGGCACCAGAGCUCUCUGUCAAAAGGGCGAUAGUUGACUUUUCAUCACCCAACAUUACAAAGGAAAUGCAUGUAGGUCAUUUGAGGUCAACUAUCAUUGGAGACACGAUAGCCCGUAUGCUUGAGUAUUCUAAAGUUGAUGUGCUUCGCAGAAACCAUGUUGGGGAUUGGGGCACUCAGUUUGGAAUGUUGAUUGAGUUUCUCUUUGAGAAGUUCCAGAUGGGGAGGUUACUGAUCAGGAUAUUGGAGAACUAGAGGUACCCAUGUCAAGCUCCCUGGUCAUUUCUUGAAAGAACCAAAUACGAAUUUCACACCUCUUACAAUAAGAUGAUACGUUCGUAUGAACUAGGAGGCGUUUACAAUAAGACGAUACGGCUUUGUGAGGCUUCAAAGAGUAUUAACAAGUAAAAAUGUGAAGCGACUAAUGGUGACUGCCAUGAAGCAGAUGCAGCUGUUGGUUAGAGUCCAAACACAAAUUCAGUCACGUAGAAUCCAUAUGUCAAAGAAUCAAGCACAAGAACAAUCAUCAUAAGAAGUAAGAUAUAAUUUCUUGGCCUUUUUUCUAAAAUACAUGGCUUUUUGUUUUAACAUAAGAUAUAUUCGCAGUCAAAUUUCUAACAAAAACAGCCAUUUAAUAAGCACCAAAGAGAUUACAAACUAGAAAAAAGACGCAAAAUUGUCGAUCACAUUAAUUAUUUAUUAAAAGUCUUUAAGAGAUUGACAAUUGGUUUGUAGGUCAAUCUAACCCAAUAAUCCAACUAUAACAACCAGUUCAGAAUGGCCAUUUUUAACCCGAAUACAUGUUGAGCCAUCAUUACCCAGCCCAUUCACUCUACCAUCAUGCAAAAGCAUACCAUAGUAACUCAUAUUUAUUAAUAAUUUAUUCUUUUUUUGUUCAUACAUUUGAAUUUGAAUGUAGAAUAUAUUUUCAUGCACGCGUAUCAUGAAAAAUCAUAUUCGUAGUGGUGGUAUUUCAACCAGGCAUGGUUUAAAAAAGCACGCCUGAGGCGUGAGGCGCUAAAGGCGUUUUAAAGAACGCUUUUUUGGACUGAGGCACUCUUCUACAAGGAGCGCUAUGAACCCGUGCUUCAUGCUUGAGGCGCUAAGAAAGCGAGGCGGCGCUUCAGUCAAAAUCAGGUUUGAUUCGGGCCCAACAUUUUUGAGAUGGCGCUUCAUGUAAUUAGCAAAGCUAUGAAAUUGUGAGAUGAGAUGUUCACAGCUUUCAAUCCUUUGUUUUUGGAUCAGUACCUUACGUUGAGAACGAGAAACCUUACUUUUUUAAAGUACGAAGUUGGCAGAAAAGAUUUGGAGAGUUUUCUACUUUUUAGACCGAAGAAAGGAGUAAGCUAAGACUAUGGGGUGUGGAGGGACUUGGGUUGGGGGCAUUGCUCGACACAUGGCGAGGGUGGGAUCCACAAGCUAAUACUAAAAAACUAGGGGUGUAGUGGAGCGUCGCUUAGCUGGGCGUGGCCAGCCAUGUGGAAUUUUUUAAAAAAAACUACAAACAAAAUUAAAAAAACCUACAUUGAACCAGCCAACCACAGCCUGGCAUGUCCCCCCCCCCCCCCCCCCAGGCAGAAUCUCCACGCCAAGCGGCCAACGCUGAUCAAAACGCCUACCCAGGGUGGAGCCCCCGGCUUUAAACGGCCAAAACGCCCAAAACCCACGCCCACACCCAACAGUCAAUGUGAAACAUAAAACACUUUUAUGCAGAUUUUUCUGCACUGUACAGUGCACACUGCACAACUCUACAACAUUGACUCUUUGCUGCAAGUAAUACAGAUUUAAAACAACAAGUUUAGUUUAUUCAAGGUUCUAAAAAUUUAAUUUAAAAUAUAAUAGUUUAUCAAUAUUUUGGUUCUUUGAGGUUUAUUAGUUCUAUAUAUAGCUCAUUUUUGGUUCUAUAAAAACAUAAAGCUUCUAGAAUUGAAUUAUAGUUUUUUUUAUCUUAUUUUUUUUGUUUAAAGAUUUAAUAACGUAGAAAAUAUUCUCUAAAAUUAUAUAUAGAGAUUUUUAGUACCAAACGCCUCGUUUACGUGAAGCUCACGCCUAGCGCUUUGCGCCUUGGUUUUUAGGGCUGCAGCCAUGGAGAAUUAUUAUUUUGAUAAAUAUUAUUUGUCAUCAUUUAAUAUUAAUUUAUCAAUGAAUUUUUGAAAAUGACAAAAACUCACAGAUUUAACCACUUUGGUGGCAGCUCAGAGCGUUUCUAAUCGAGUGUUAUUUAGUCAAAAAUGAUUUUUUGUUCUAGCCUUUUAGGGGCUUUUGUUGGAGUGUACUUGAAAGUCUGCAAGUGUGGGUGUGGGGAUUGAUUGCUGGAAGUGGGCUUUCGAUACAUCAGGUAUGUUCACUGUUCGAAGUUUCAGGAAUCAUCUGCAUCAGGCUAGGUUCUUGGACCUGGGAACGGGUUUUGUUGUAACAACUUGACGCCUAUUAAGGUUAAUUUCCUGGACUGGAGAGUGUCACUAAAUAGGGUCUCAACGAACCUGGAGGAUGUUUUGUCCAUGGUAUGUCCUUUGAUUCGUGCCAGCUGUACCGGAGACAGUGGAUUAUCAAAUUUAAUGAUAAUGUUCUGGGAGACUUCAAUGGUGAAGCUGUGAUAGGCCAGUUUCCCUUGUUAUGAUUGGGGGAGAAAGAGUUUGUUUACGAAUGCUGCAUAACUUCUACGGCUUCACCUGCAUCGAUAGAGGGUUCUUACAUGUUUAUCCCGGGCAGGCGUGUCGUAAUAUGCUCAUCAUAUCUUUUUUUAGCAUUUGUAUUAGAUAAAUUUGUAAAUUGUGUGUAAUCUGGCGGAUCCACAACGAAGCCCCUUUGAGGUUGAAAUUGCUAGAUUUCCUUUGGUUUUGCCAGAGUACAUCUUCUGAUGCAACUAUUCUGUUAUCCAUGGUCACUAUCUUGGCUUAAAGCCGUUUGUUUGA